RNAcentral lists this ribosomal RNA (253 nucleotides) under uncultured bacterium. RNAcentral describes it as "partial 16S ribosomal RNA". It matches the Rfam family "Bacterial small subunit ribosomal RNA", at positions 524 to 776 of the family's 1533-position model. The record is from RNAcentral.
UACAGAGGUCUCAAGCGUUGUUCGGAUUCAUUGGGCGUAAAGGGUGCGUAGGCGGCUCGGUAAGUCGGGGGUGAAAUCUUGGAGCUUAACUCCGAAACUGCAUUCGAUACUGCCGUGCUUGAGGACUGGAGAGGAGACUGGAAUUUACGGUGUAGCGGUGAAGUGCGUAGAUAUCGUAAGGAAGACCAGUGGCGAAGGCGGGUCUCUGGACAGUUCCUGACGCUCAUGCACGAAAGCGUGGGGAGCAAACAGG